CUUGGUCAUUUAGAGGAAGUAAAAGUCGUAACAAGGUUUCCGUAGGUGAACCUGCGGAAGGAUCAUUAACGAAACGCUCAGGGAUGUUGCUGGCCCUUUCUGCGAAGGGCAUGUGCACUCCUUGAACAUUCUGACCCUUCACCCCUGUGCACCCUUUUGUAGGCUUCAGAGGGACCACUCUUUGGGGCCUAUGUCAUCAUUACAUUUACAAACUCUAGUCGAUCGAAUGUUCUUGUAACAAGUAAACCUGGAGCUUUCUAGGUUUAAAAGUAACCCAAUACAACUUUCAACAAUGGAUCUCUUGGCUCUCGCAUCGAUGAAGAACGCAGCGAAAUGCGAUACGUAAUGUGAAUUGCAGAAUUCCGUGAAUCAUCGAAUCUUUGAACGCACCUUGCGCCCCUUGGUAUUCCGAGGGGCAUGCCUGUUUGAGUGUCAUUGAAUUCUCAACUUGGCCCGAGUUUGCUCUCGGAGCUCAAGCUUGGAUUUGGAGUGUGCUGGUCCCUUGCGGGGUCGGCUCCUCUGAAAAGCAUUAGCGACGAAAUCCUUUCANGGGUGGGCCCCAAAAUGUGCUGUGGCAUUGAUAACAAUUGUCUAUGUCUCACUGCGGGGGGGGAGGAUGANCCAAGGGCGUUCUCCCUUACAAUGGUCCUCGUCGUGGGGGACAAAGGCUCACCUUGACAAUUACCUCAAUCAGGUAGGACUACCCGCUGAACUUAAGCAUAUCAAUAAGCGGAGGAAAAGAAACUANCAAGGAUUCCCCUAGUAACUGCGAGUGAAAGCGGNAAAAGCUCAAAUUUAAANUCUGGUGNUCCCGAGUNGGCUGCCCGAGUUGUAAUCUAGAGAAGUGCUUUCCGCGCUGGACCGUGUACAAGUCUCUUGGAACGNAGCGUCGUAGAGGGUGACAAUCCCCGUCUUUGACACGGACUGCCAGGGCUUAUGUGAUGCGCUCUCGAAGAGUCGAGUUGUUUGGGAAUGCAGCUCAAAAUGGGUGGUAAAUUCCAUCUAAAGCUAAAUAUGGGCGAGAGACCGAUAGCGAACAAGUACCGUGAGGGAAAGAUGAAAAGAACUUUGAAAAGAGAGUUAAACAGUACGUGAAAUUGUUGAAAGGGAAACGAUUCAAGUCAGUCGCGUUGGCCGGUAAUCAACCCUUGCGAAGGCGGGGGCUUACUUUCCGUCUGACGGGUCAGCAUCAAUUUUGACCGUCAGAUAAAGGUUUGGGGAACGUGGCAUCUUCGGAUGUGUUAUAGCCCCUUGUCAGAUGUGACGGUUGGGAUUGAGGAACUUGGCACGCCCGCAAAGGGUCGGGGCUUUUUGCCCACGUAACGUGCUUUGGAUGCUGGCAUAAUGGCUUGAACCGACCCGUCUUGAAACACGGACC
RNAcentral lists this ribosomal RNA (1378 nucleotides) under uncultured fungus. RNAcentral describes it as "eukaryotic LSU rRNA". The stretch from base 681 to 1378 matches the Rfam family "Eukaryotic large subunit ribosomal RNA", at positions 1 to 667 of the family's 3401-position model. Lineage: Eukaryota; Fungi. The record is from RNAcentral.